This 539-nucleotide ribosomal RNA is filed under the name uncultured bacterium. RNAcentral's name for it is "partial 16S ribosomal RNA". It matches the Rfam family "Bacterial small subunit ribosomal RNA", at positions 340 to 871 of the family's 1533-position model. The record is from RNAcentral.
UACGGGAGGCAGCAGGGGGGAAUUUUGGACAAUGGGGGCAAGCCUGAUCCAGCAAUACCGGGUGUGUGAAGAAGGCCUUCGGGUUGUAAAGCACUUUUAUAUGGGAAGAAGUGUAAUGUGUUUAUAGCGCGAAGCAUUGACGGUUCCAUAAGAAAAAACACCGGCUAAAUUCGUUCCCGCCGCCGCGGUAAUUAGGAGGGGGGGAGCGUUUAUUGGAAUUUCUGGGGGUAAAAGGGAGGUUGGGGGGUUUUUAAAUUAGAUGGGAAAAUCCCGGGGUUAACCUGGGAAAUUCCUUUGAAAAUUUUGAGUUUGGAGGAGGGAGGGGGUAGGGGAAUUUCCGGGGGUGGGGUGAAAAUUGUUGAAGUUUUGAGGAACCUCCGUGGGGAAGGGGGCCUCCCGGCCCUACAAUGACGGUGAGGUAGGAAAAGGGGGGGGGGCAACCGGGUUAGAUUCCCCGGUUGUCCCCCCCCUAAACGAUGAGGACUGGCUGUUGGUGCUAUAGACGCAUCGGUAGCGAAGCUAACGCGUUAAGUAUCCGC